CACAGAUGAUGAACAAUUUUGACGGGCGGACAGAGACUCCGUGUUGAUUGUCAAGUUCUGACCUG
Erinaceus europaeus (western European hedgehog) is the source of this 65-nucleotide small nucleolar RNA. Ensembl annotates it as small nucleolar RNA, C/D box 43. Its record names the gene SNORD43. Lineage: Eukaryota; Metazoa; Chordata; Mammalia; Eulipotyphla; Erinaceidae. The record is from Ensembl.